This is a long non-coding RNA of Lytechinus variegatus (green sea urchin), 2299 nucleotides long. RefSeq lists it as uncharacterized. The transcript has 4 exons. The record is from RefSeq and is a predicted model, not a curated record. NCBI's taxonomy places the organism in Eukaryota, Metazoa, Echinodermata, Echinoidea, Temnopleuroida, Toxopneustidae.
CUAGGAAUUAAAAACUCAGAGGCUUUCGAAAAGCAUUUGGAACAUUUGUUGCCCCAAGGGACUCCUUGGUUCGCGUACAUACAAUAUUCGAAAGGCAGUAUAAUAGAAGAGUUAAUCUGGCCGCGGUGAAACUGCAGUGCAGAGCUGCAUCGAGAUCAGUCAUCACUCAUUCACUGACAUCACUCAAUAGUCAAUGCAUGUGAUGUGUACUGUUAGUGUUUAGCUCCUUGGUAUAUUUUGUCUGAUCUGCAUGCAGGGUAUGCUGGGUGAAUCUGAGCACGGUACCAUAAUUUGCUUGAUGUAUAGCAUCUCCGACCAAACAAGAGAAGCAACGAUUUAGAAUUACGAAACUUAUACAUACUUGACGGCUGAGUGGAAGAACAAACGAUCGACAGUAAUGGCUCAUCGGCAUGGACAAAUCAUCAGUAUCAGACAAUAUACAUCACUACCUGAUCACCUGAGUACCGUUUUAGUUAAACAGUUCGAGAGAAUAAUUUAGAAUAAAGAAUAUAUACUACAUUGGAGAGUACAUGCAUUGAGAUGCCUCAUGGACUGUAAAGGCUCUUUACAUUGGACAGUCAGGACUUCAGACAUUCUCUUGCAUCCUGAAAACCAAGUUUAUCAGUGAACUUGUUCAGGAUACGACUAUCCCACCAACACUACGAAAGUCUCACUAGACAGUCCUUGAACGAGAAGAGGGAUUGUAUUCUAGAUCGAAUGGCGUAUACGUUAGAUAAUUAUAAAGUAUUUUAUUUCGGAUUUUGGACCGUGGGAUGACGGAAUAAAGUUCCACAUAAGCCACACUAAAGUCUGUGAAUACAUUUCUUUUGGAGUGAGAGUAUUUGUUAGCCGAAACUCCGUCCGUUUAUCAAGGAUAAAAGGCGGCAGCCACACUUCGUUUUCAGUUUUUACCAGAGUUUUCUCAGUUUACUCUUCAGAACUGCAAAGACUCGAUGGUGGAUUGAAAGAACCAACGGUCGACGGAUUACAACUACGGCUGUUUGGCAUGGGCAAAUCAGAAUUAAACAAUAUGAAUCAGUAUAUGCACCACCUCCUGAUCACCUUAGUUGAACAUGAAAAUUUCAGAAUAAAGAAUAACUACAUUGGAGUGUACAUGCGUUUGAAUGCAUCGAUGAAUGAAAAUCACUGUGAACUAUAAAGGCUUCUUUACAUUGGAUAGUCAGGAAUCAUACCUUCUCUUGCAUCCAUAAAACCAAGUUUAUAUCAGUGAACUUGUGAAUCUAGCAGAAGAAGAAGAGUUUCGUAACCCCUCCUGGAACCUUUUUUAAUUUCAUUUGACAUCGUUAUAUCGUAUGCUGUUGAUUGCUCGCCCUUUUUAUUUUUAGAAGAACAAAACUUGUAUGAAAUCUUGGUUAUUCUUUCGACGUUUAUAUCUACUUUGUAUGUGCUACUGUUUUAGACAUACUAUGGAUGGGGAUCGCCAAGCGAGUGCAGUGCACACAGCUGUAAAUGAAUAUUUGCCUCAUACAAUUGAAAUCGAUGUUCCAAACAUCUUUUUGUUCAAUUUGAUGAUGAAAAUCAAGGGAAUUUUGAGCGAUGAGAAUGUCCACAAAAGUUUUGUUUGCAUACUCGAUCGGUAUCAUAUACCAGAAGAUAAGGUAGAUUUUGGUAAUAUUCACCUAUUGAAAUGGAAACUUAAGUAUACAUGGAGACAAUGGAAAAAUACCCAAAGUGGGUACAGACGUAAUAAAUUGCUUAAGAAAUAUAACACCUCAACUUACUCAAUGAAAAUCAAUUUCAAGCCUGACUGUCAGUUUCCGAUAAGGAGAAUUGAUGAAAAUUAUAGGCCCACGACAGCCCAAAACAGUCCAGUGCACACAACUGAUAAUGAUGGCGAUUCGCCUCAUACAAUUGAAAUUGAUGUACCAAACAUCAUUUUAUUCAACUUGGUAAGAGAAACCAAGGGAUGUAUCAACGAUGAGAAUGUCCACAAAUGUUUUGCUUCCAUACUCCGUCGAUAUCAUAUACCAGAAGAUAAGGUAGAUUUUGGUAAUAUUCACCUAUUGAAAUGGAAACUUAAGUAUACAUGGAGACAAUGGAAAAAUACCAAAAGUGGGUACAGACGUAAUAAAUUGCUUCAGAAAUAUAACACCUCAACUUACUCAAUGAAAAUAGAUUUCAAGCCUGACUGUCAGUUUCCGAUAAGGAGAAUUGAUGAAAAUUAUAGGCCCACGACAGCCCAAAACAGUCGGAAAAAGUUGGAGUGGGAGAGAUAGUCAUUUUGUAAGAUUAUUUCUGUGAAUAAUAGGCCUAUGUUUCCUUUAACUCCUUAGUCCUA